ACUUUUAACAACAGAUCUCUUAGUUCUAGCAUUAAUAAAGAACGCAGCAAAAUGCGAUAAGUAGUGUAAAUUAUAGAAUUUAGUAAAUUAUUAAAUCUUUAAACGCACAUUGCGCCCCUUAGUAUUCUAUAGGGCAUGCCUGUUUAAGCGUUAUUUGUACCCUUAAGCUCUACUUAGUGUUAGGUGUUUAUUCUACUUAGGACUUGCCUUAAAACAAUUGGCAGCUAGCAUAUUAGCCUAGAGCGUAGCACAUUUUGCGCCUCUUGUUAUGGUUGUUAGUAUCUAUUAAGACACUUUUUAAGCUCUUAACCUUAGAUUAGGUAGGGAUACCCGCUAAACUUAAGCAUAUUAAUAAGCGGAGGAAAAGAAACUAAUAGGGAUUGCCCUAGUAACAGCGAGUAAAGUGGCAAUAGCUUAAAUUUAAAAUCUAGCUCUUUUAGGGUCUAAGUUAUAAUUUACAGAGGGCGCUUUAGCGUUAGCAGUAGUCUAAGUUCCUUAGAAUAGGACGUUAUAGAGGGUAAGAAUCCUAUACGUAGUUGCUAGCCUUUGCUAUAUAAAGCCCCUUUAACAAGUUAAGUUGUUUAGGAAUAUAGCUUUAAAUAGGAGGUAAAUUUCUUCUAAAGCUAAAUACUAGCUAGAGACUAAUAGCGUAUAAGUAGAGUAAUUAAAAGAUAAAAAGCACUUUAGAAAGAGAGUUAAAUAGCACGUGAAAUUGUUAAAAGGGAAGCGCUUGUAGCUAGACUUGCCUGUAGUUACUUAUCUAGGCUUUUAUCUAGUGCACUCUUCUAUAGGUAGGCUAGCAUUAGUUUAGGCAGUUAGAUAAAGGUCUCUAUUACGUACCUCCCUUUAGGGAGGCCUUAUAGGGGAGACCCUGACAUGUAACUAGCCUAGACUAAGGUCUACGUAUCUACUAGGAUGCUAGCGUAAUAGCUGUAAGCGGCCUAUCUUAAAAUAUAGACUAAGGAGUCUAAUAUCUAUAUAAGUGUUUAGGUGUUAAGCCUAGACGCGUAAUAAAAGUAAAUAGAGGUAGGACCCCUUUUAGGGUGCACUAUUAACUAAUCCUAAUAUCUUUAGAAGGAUUUAAGUAAGAGUAUAGCUAUUAGGACCUAAAAGAUAGUGAACUAUGCUUAAAUAGGGUAAAGCUAGAGGAAACUCUAGUAGAGGCUCGCAGUAGUUCUAACGUGCAAAUUAAUUAUUAAAUUUAGGUAUAGGGGCGAAAGACUAAUUAAACUAUCUAGUAGCUAGUUCCUACUAAAGUUUCCCUUAGGAUAGCAGUAACGUAUUUAGUUUUAUAAGGUAAAGCGAAUAAUUAGAGGCCUAGGGGUUAAAACAACCUUCACCUAUUCUUAAACUUUAAAUAUGUAAGAAGUCCUUAUUACUUAAUUAAACGUGGACACUUAAAUAUACUAUUACUAGUAGGCUAUUUUUAGUAAGCAGAACUAGCAAUAUAGGAUAAACUAAACGUAGGGUUAAGGUGCUAGAAUACACGCUUAUUAGAUACUACAAAAGGUGUUAGUUUAUCUAGAUAGUAGGAUAGUAGCUAUAGAAGUUAGAAUCUGCUAAGGAGUGUAUAAUAACUUACCUGCUAAAUAAACUAGCCCUAAAAAUAGAUAGCGCUUAAGCGUGUUACCUAUACCCUGCUGCUAGGGCAAGAUUUAAGCCCUAGCAAGUAGGCAGGCGUAGAGGCUUGUAACAAAGCCUUAGGGGUAACCCUAGGUAGAAUGGCCUCUAGUACAGAUCUUAGUAGUAGUAGCAAAUACUUAAAUAAGAACUUUAAGGACUAAAGUAGGGAAAGGUUCUGUGUAAAUAGCAGUUAGACACAGGUUAGUUAAUCCUAAGAGAUAGGGUAAUUCUAUUUUAAUAUUAGUGCUUACACCGCGCCCUUAAAAGGGAAGCUAGUUAAUAUUCUAGCACCUAGAUAUAGAUUCUCCGCGGCAACGCAACUAAGAGCGGAGACCUUAGCAGGAGCCCUAAGAAGAGUUCUCUUUUCUUCUUAACAGUCUAUUACCCUAAAAUUAGUUUAUCUAGAGCUAGGGUUUAAUAGCUAGAAAAGCGCUACACUUUUAUAGCAUUUAGUGCGCUCCUAAUAAGCCUUAAAAAUCUACUUAAAGAAAUAGUUUUUACGCUAGGUUGUACUUAUAACUGCAGCAGGUCUCUAAGGUAAAAAGCCUCUAGUUAAUAGAAUAAUGUAGAUAAGGGAAGUUAGUAAAAUAGAUCUAUAACUUUAGGAAAAGGAUUAGCUCUAAGGGUUAGGUACGUUAGGCCUUAGGGAGAAGCCUCUAGCGUAGAAGGGCACUAACUGCAAGGUAGGCGCCUCUUAGCGCUAGGGUGCAGACACCCUUAGCAGGUUUUAGCUAUCUAGCGUAUGUUUAAUAACUAACUUAGAACUAGUAUAGAUAAGGGGAAUCUAACUAUCUAAUUAAAAUAUAGUAUUGUAAUAGCUAGAAAGUAGUAUUAAUAUAAUAUAAUUUCUGCCUAGUGCUCUAAAUAUUAAAGCAAAGAGAUUUAACUAAGCACAGGUAAAUAGUAGGAGUAACUAUAACUCUCUUAAGGUAGCUAAAUACCUUAUUAUCUAAUUAGUAACGCAUAUAAAUAGAUUAACAAGAUUCCUACUAUCCCUAUCUACUAUCUAGCGAAACCACAGCUAAGGGAACAGGCUUGGCCAAAUUAGCGGGGAAAGAAGACCCUAUUAAGCUUAACUCUAGUUUAAUAUUAUAAAAAGAUAUAGGGGGUGUAGAAUAGGUAGGAGCUUUAGCGCUAGUAAAAUACUACUACCCUUAUUGUUUUUUUACUUAUUUAAUAAAGCGGAGCUAGGCCUUACUACCUAACUUCUAGCGUUUAAGGUCCUUUGUAGGCUAAUCUAGGUUAAAGAUAUUAUUAGGUAGGGAGUUUAGCUAGGGCGGCACAUCUAUUAAACUAUAACGUAGGUGUCCUAAGGGGGACUUAUAGAGAAUAGAAAUCUCUAGUAGAGUAAAAGGGCAAAAGUCCCCUUAAUUUUAAUUUUUAGUGUGAAUACAAACUAUAAAAGUGUAGCCUAUUAAUCCUUUAGUCCCUUAAAAUUUAAGGCUAGAGGUGCUAGAAAAGUUACUACAGGGAUAACUAGCUUGUGGCAGCUAAGCGUUUAUAGUAAUGUUGCUUUUUAAUCCUUUAAUAUUAGCUCUUCCUAUUAUACUAAAGCAGAAUUUAGUAAGCGUUAGAUUGUUUACCUACUAAUAGGGAACUGUUGCAGGAGGGAUAUCAACCGGAUCACGGAGCAUCUUGAUCCAAUCAAUCCCGAUCAAUACCCCUGUAUGACCCACUAUCUGAUCAACUGCCAGCUCACUACCAAGCGCCCAACAAAAAGCAGGAGCUCUGGUAAGGAAGGUUUACCAAUCAUUCACCUUCUAGUAAGGGUAGCUGAAGCUCUAUAUAUAUGAGUCCGAUCGUAGUAGAUACAAUCCAAUAAUCCAUCUCCCAAAUCAUUCCUAACCUUAGUAAUCCAAUUUUCCACAGUUAUGAGCCCAGUUCGCGCUUUACCUCAUUAAAGAUCGUCCUAUCUAUUUGAGCGUAUUGUUCAACUUGGACACUAAGCCAGCAAAGCUUCACUCUUUCUUUAUACCAUUUCUUGAGCAGAAGCUCACUUAUUACUCUUCCACCAUAAGCGACCAAAUCCCAAAGGGGGAUAUCCUACUCACUAGAUUAACCAACUAGCCCACCUAGUACAUUCAAUUCAGAUACCAUGCCCUAACCAAAGGGAUCUAGGCAGAGGUAGACCCUAAGGCUCCAAAUGCUGAAAACCACUUUAAGAAUAAACCUAUUAAGCCUAACAUGCCAACAAAUAUCGCGCUAUCUAACACAAUAAGCGAGCAGUACAAGCUCUAAAUAGCUUAGUACCAAGCCCGCUCAUCAGAUUAGGCAUCAAAGUUAUUAGCAAUCCAGAACCUCUUCACAUAGGUCAACAACACAGUAGAUCAAGGGAUCCUUACCCUAGCCUAUAUAGAGCUUGU
This 3986-nucleotide ribosomal RNA is filed under the name Plenodomus lingam JN3. Its description in RNAcentral is "28S_rRNA". It matches the Rfam family "Eukaryotic large subunit ribosomal RNA". The record is from RNAcentral. Lineage: Eukaryota; Fungi; Ascomycota; Dothideomycetes; Pleosporales; Leptosphaeriaceae.